AGAGUUUGAUCCUGGCUCAGAUUGAACGCUGGCGGCGUGCUUAACACAUGCAAGUCGAACGAUGAACCUCCUUCGGGAGGGGAUUAGUGGCGAACGGGUGAGUAACACGUGGGCAAUCUGCCUGCACUCUGGGACAAGCCCUGGAAACGGGGUCUAAUACCGGAUACGACUGUCUCGGGCAUCCGAUGACGGUGGAAAGC
This 200-nucleotide ribosomal RNA is filed under the name uncultured bacterium. Its description in RNAcentral is "partial 16S ribosomal RNA". It matches the Rfam family "Bacterial small subunit ribosomal RNA", at positions 8 to 208 of the family's 1533-position model. The record is from RNAcentral.